UUCCGGUUGAUCCCGCCGGACCCUACUGCUAUCGGGGUGGGACUAAGACAUGCGCGUCGAGCGUCUCCAGCUAUGGUGAGACGCGGCAGACGGCUCAGUAACACGUGGCUAACCUACCCUCAGGACGGGGACAAACCCGGGAAACUGGGGCUAAUACCCGAUAGGCGAGGGCGCCUGGAAUGGUUCUUCACCCAAAGGGCUUUGGAAGCAUGCUUUUCAAAGUCGCCUGGGGAUGGGGCCGCGUCCGAUCAGGUUGUUGGUGAGGUAACGGCUCACCAAGCCUAUAACCGGUACGGGCCGUGAGAGCGGUAGCCCGGAGAUGGGCACUGAGACAAGGGCCCAGGCCCCACGGGGCGCAGCAGUCGCGAAAACUCCGCAAUGCACGAAAGUGUGACGGGGCUACCCCGAGUGCCGUCCGCUGAGGAUGGCUUUUCCUCGGUGUAACUAGCCGGGGGAAUAAGGAGAGGGCAAGACUGGUGUCAGCCGCCGCGGUAAUACCAGCUCUCCGAGUGGUAGGGAUGAUUAUUGGGCUUAAAGCGUCCGUAGCCGGCUUAGCAAGUCUCCUGUUAAAUUCAGCGACCUAAUCGUUGAGCCGCGGGAGAUACUACUAGGCUAGGAGGCGGGAGAGGUCGACGGUAUUUCCGGGGUAGGGGUGAAAUCCUAUAAUCCCGGGAGGACCACCAGUGGCGAAGGCUGUCGACUAGAACGCGCUCGACGGUGAGGGACGAAAGCUGGGGGAGCAAACCGGAUUAGAUACCCGGGUAGUCCCAGCCGUAAACGAUGCGGGCUAUGUGUUGGGGUGGCUACGUGCCACUUCAGUGCCGCAGGGAAGCCAUUAAGCCCGCCGCCUGGGGAGUACGGCCGCAAGGCUGAAACUUAAAGGAAUUGGCGGGGGAGCACCACAAGGCGUGAAGCUUGCGGUUCAAUUGGAGUCAACGCCGGGAAUCACUAGUGCGGGCCGCCUGCAGUCGACCAUAUGGGAGAGCUCCCAACGCGUUGGAUGCAUAGCUUGAGUAUUCUAUAGUGUCACCCUAAAAUAGCUUGG
RNAcentral lists this ribosomal RNA (1045 nucleotides) under uncultured archaeon. RNAcentral describes it as "bacterial SSU rRNA". It matches the Rfam family "Archaeal small subunit ribosomal RNA", at positions 1 to 970 of the family's 1478-position model. The record is from RNAcentral.